Molecule: ribosomal RNA, 1446 nt
Filed under: uncultured organism
Description: SSU rRNA
Rfam family: Bacterial small subunit ribosomal RNA
Source: RNAcentral
GAACGCUAGCUACAGGCUUAACACAUGCAAGUCGAGGGGCAGCAUUUUAGUUUGCUUGCAAACUAAAGAUGGCGACCGGCGCACGGGUGAGUAACACGUAUCCAACCUGCCGAUAACUCGGGGAUAGCCUUUCGAAAGAAAGAUUAAUAUCCGAUAGUAUAUUAAAACCGCAUGGUUUUACUAUUAAAGAAUUUCGGUUAUCGAUGGGGAUGCGUUCCAUUAGUUUGUUGGCGGGGUAACGGCCCACCAAGACUACGAUGGAUAGGGGUUCUGAGAGGAAGGUCCCCCACAUUGGAACUGAGACACGGUCCAAACUCCUACGGGAGGCAGCAGUGAGGAAUAUUGGUCAAUGGACGAGAGUCUGAACCAGCCAAGUAGCGUGAAGGAUGACUGCCCUAUGGGUUGUAAACUUCUUUUAUAUGGGAAUAAAGUAUUCCACGUGUGGGAUUUUGUAUGUACCAUAUGAAUAAGGAUCGGCUAACUCCGUGCCAGCAGCCGCGGUAAUACGGAGGAUCCGAGCGUUAUCCGGAUUUAUUGGGUUUAAAGGGAGCGUAGGUGGAUUGUUAAGUCAGUUGUGAAAGUUUGCGGCUCAACCGUAAAAUUGCAGUUGAAACUGGCAGUCUUGAGUACAGUAGAGGUGGGCGGAAUUCGUGGUGUAGCGGUGAAAUGGUUAGAUAUCACGAAGAACUCCGAUUGCGAAGGCAGCUCACUAGACUGCAACUGACACUGAUGCUCGAAAGUGUGGGUAUCAAACAGGAUUAGAUACCCUGGUAGUCCACACAGUAAACGAUGAAUACUCGCUGUUUGCGAUAUACAGUAAGCGGCCAAGCGAAAGCAUUAAGUAUUCCACCUGGGGAGUACGCCGGCAACGGUGAAACUCAAAGGAAUUGACGGGGGCCCGCACAAGCGGAGGAACAUGUGGUUUAAUUCGAUGAUACGCGAGGAACCUUACCCGGGCUUAAAUUGCAUUUGAAUAAUCUGGAAACAGGUUAGCCGCAAGGCAAAUGUGAAGGUGCUGCAUGGUUGUCGUCAGCUCGUGCCGUGAGGUGUCGGCUUAAGUGCCAUAACGAGCGCAACCCUUAUCUUUAGUUACUAACAGGUCAUGCUGAGGACUCUAGAGAGACUGCCGUCGUAAGAUGUGAGGAAGGUGGGGAUGACGUCAAAUCAGCACGGCCCUUACGUCCGGGGCUACACACGUGUUACAAUGGGGGGUACAGAAGGCAGCUACCUGGCGACAGGAUGCUAAUCCCAAAAACCUCUCUCAGUUCGGAUCGAAGUCUGCAACCCGACUUCGUGAAGCUGGAUUCGCUAGUAAUCGCGCAUCAGCCAUGGCGCGGUGAAUACGUUCCCGGGCCUUGUACACACCGCCCGUCAAGCCAUGAAAGCCGGGGGUACCUGAAGUACGUAACCGCAAGGAGCGUCCUAGGGUAAAACUGGUAAUUGGGG